This 295-nucleotide small nuclear RNA is filed under the name Dasypus novemcinctus (nine-banded armadillo). Its description in RNAcentral is "7SK RNA (ENSDNOG00000029118.2)". It matches the Rfam family "7SK RNA". From Rfam's summary of the family: 7SK was discovered as an abundant small nuclear RNA in the mid-70s but a possible function has only recently been suggested. Lineage: Eukaryota; Metazoa; Chordata; Mammalia; Cingulata; Dasypodidae. The record is from RNAcentral.
AGAUGUGAGGGCAAUCUGGCUGCAACAUCUGUUACUGCAUAGAUCACCAGGGUUGAUUCGGCUGAUCUAACCGGCUGGGCGGGUGUUCCCUUCCUCUCUUAUCACUCUAUGUGCAUCCCUCCUGAAGCCGCUCAUUCAGUCGAAGAGAACGACCUUCCCCGUAAGAAGAGGACCAUUCUUUGGUCAAGGGUAUCUGAAUAGCUGUGCUCCACAGCUAGAACCUCCAAACAAGCUCUCAAAAGUCCAGGCACAGACUUCCCCAAGUCAAAUGCCCACUCAUGCCCCAGAGUCUCUU